This 2903-nucleotide ribosomal RNA is filed under the name Escherichia coli. Its description in RNAcentral is "bacterial LSU rRNA". It matches the Rfam family "Bacterial large subunit ribosomal RNA". Lineage: Bacteria; Pseudomonadati; Pseudomonadota; Gammaproteobacteria; Enterobacterales; Enterobacteriaceae. The record is from RNAcentral.
UUAAGCGACUAAGCGUACACGGUGGAUGCCCUGGCAGUCAGAGGCGAUGAAGGACGUGCUAAUCUGCGAUAAGCGUCGGUAAGGUGAUAUGAACCGUUAUAACCGGCGAUUUCCGAAUGGGGAAACCCAGUGUGUUUCGACACACUAUCAUUAACUGAAUCCAUAGGUUAAUGAGGCGAACCGGGGGAACUGAAACAUCUAAGUACCCCGAGGAAAAGAAAUCAACCGAGAUUCCCCCAGUAGCGGCGAGCGAACGGGGAGCAGCCCAGAGCCUGAAUCAGUGUGUGUGUUAGUGGAAGCGUCUGGAAAGGCGCGCGAUACAGGGUGACAGCCCCGUACACAAAAAUGCACAUGCUGUGAGCUCGAUGAGUAGGGCGGGACACGUGGUAUCCUGUCUGAAUAUGGGGGGACCAUCCUCCAAGGCUAAAUACUCCUGACUGACCGAUAGUGAACCAGUACCGUGAGGGAAAGGCGAAAAGAACCCCGGCGAGGGGAGUGAAAAAGAACCUGAAACCGUGUACGUACAAGCAGUGGGAGCACGCUUAGGCGUGUGACUGCGUACCUUUUGUAUAAUGGGUCAGCGACUUAUAUUCUGUAGCAAGGUUAACCGAAUAGGGGAGCCGAAGGGAAACCGAGUCUUAACUGGGCGUUAAGUUGCAGGGUAUAGACCCGAAACCCGGUGAUCUAGCCAUGGGCAGGUUGAAGGUUGGGUAACACUAACUGGAGGACCGAACCGACUAAUGUUGAAAAAUUAGCGGAUGACUUGUGGCUGGGGGUGAAAGGCCAAUCAAACCGGGAGAUAGCUGGUUCUCCCCGAAAGCUAUUUAGGUAGCGCCUCGUGAAUUCAUCUCCGGGGGUAGAGCACUGUUUCGGCAAGGGGGUCAUCCCGACUUACCAACCCGAUGCAAACUGCGAAUACCGGAGAAUGUUAUCACGGGAGACACACGGCGGGUGCUAACGUCCGUCGUGAAGAGGGAAACAACCCAGACCGCCAGCUAAGGUCCCAAAGUCAUGGUUAAGUGGGAAACGAUGUGGGAAGGCCCAGACAGCCAGGAUGUUGGCUUAGAAGCAGCCAUCAUUUAAAGAAAGCGUAAUAGCUCACUGGUCGAGUCGGCCUGCGCGGAAGAUGUAACGGGGCUAAACCAUGCACCGAAGCUGCGGCAGCGACACUAUGUGUUGUUGGGUAGGGGAGCGUUCUGUAAGCCUGUGAAGGUGUGCUGUGAGGCAUGCUGGAGGUAUCAGAAGUGCGAAUGCUGACAUAAGUAACGAUAAAGCGGGUGAAAAGCCCGCUCGCCGGAAGACCAAGGGUUCCUGUCCAACGUUAAUCGGGGCAGGGUGAGUCGACCCCUAAGGCGAGGCCGAAAGGCGUAGUCGAUGGGAAACAGGUUAAUAUUCCUGUACUUGGUGUUACUGCGAAGGGGGGACGGAGAAGGCUAUGUUGGCCGGGCGACGGUUGUCCCGGUUUAAGCGUGUAGGCUGGUUUUCCAGGCAAAUCCGGAAAAUCAAGGCUGAGGCGUGAUGACGAGGCACUACGGUGCUGAAGCAACAAAUGCCCUGCUUCCAGGAAAAGCCUCUAAGCAUCAGGUAACAUCAAAUCGUACCCCAAACCGACACAGGUGGUCAGGUAGAGAAUACCAAGGCGCUUGAGAGAACUCGGGUGAAGGAACUAGGCAAAAUGGUGCCGUAACUUCGGGAGAAGGCACGCUGAUAUGUAGGUGAAGUCCCUCGCGGAUGGAGCUGAAAUCAGUCGAAGAUACCAGCUGGCUGCAACUGUUUAUUAAAAACACAGCACUGUGCAAACACGAAAGUGGACGUAUACGGUGUGACGCCUGCCCGGUGCCGGAAGGUUAAUUGAUGGGGUUAGCCGCAAGGCGAAGCUCUUGAUCGAAGCCCCGGUAAACGGCGGCCGUAACUAUAACGGUCCUAAGGUAGCGAAAUUCCUUGUCGGGUAAGUUCCGACCUGCACGAAUGGCGUAAUGAUGGCCAGGCUGUCUCCACCCGAGACUCAGUGAAAUUGAACUCGCUGUGAAGAUGCAGUGUACCCGCGGCAAGACGGAAAGACCCCGUGAACCUUUACUAUAGCUUGACACUGAACAUUGAGCCUUGAUGUGUAGGAUAGGUGGGAGGCUUAGAAGUGUGGACGCCAGUCUGCAUGGAGCCGACCUUGAAAUACCACCCUUUAAUGUUUGAUGUUCUAACGUUGACCCGUAAUCCGGGUUGCGGACAGUGUCUGGUGGGUAGUUUGACUGGGGCGGUCUCCUCCUAAAGAGUAACGGAGGAGCACGAAGGUUGGCUAAUCCUGGUCGGACAUCAGGAGGUUAGUGCAAUGGCAUAAGCCAGCUUGACUGCGAGCGUGACGGCGCGAGCAGGUGCGAAAGCAGGUCAUAGUGAUCCGGUGGUUCUGAAUGGAAGGGCCAUCGCUCAACGGAUAAAAGGUACUCCGGGGAUAACAGGCUGAUACCGCCCAAGAGUUCAUAUCGACGGCGGUGUUUGGCACCUCGAUGUCGGCUCAUCACAUCCUGGGGCUGAAGUAGGUCCCAAGGGUAUGGCUGUUCGCCAUUUAAAGUGGUACGCGAGCUGGGUUUAGAACGUCGUGAGACAGUUCGGUCCCUAUCUGCCGUGGGCGCUGGAGAACUGAGGGGGGCUGCUCCUAGUACGAGAGGACCGGAGUGGACGCAUCACUGGUGUUCGGGUUGUCAUGCCAAUGGCACUGCCCGGUAGCUAAAUGCGGAAGAGAUAAGUGCUGAAAGCAUCUAAGCACGAAACUUGCCCCGAGAUGAGUUCUCCCUGACCCUUUAAGGGUCCUGAAGGAACGUUGAAGACGACGACGUUGAUAGGCCGGGUGUGUAAGCGCAGCGAUGCGUUGAGCUAACCGGUACUAAUGAACCGUGAGGCUUAACCUU